AGGCAGUGAGCUGUGGGCCUGAAUGU
RNAcentral lists this non-coding RNA (26 nucleotides) under Homo sapiens (human). Lineage: Eukaryota; Metazoa; Chordata; Mammalia; Primates; Hominidae. The record is from RNAcentral.